GCAGGGCUAUGUUAGGCUUUAUACAAUGUGACCCUCUAGUCUGUACAAGGAGAGGAAUGCAGAGGGAAAGAGAUUCACUGGAGUCUCUCGUCAGUGACCUGGUGGUGAAUAUAUGGUAAUGGGUAAAUCCCACUUCACCUAAUGAAGAAAAGGAGAAGGAUGCACUUCAUUCUUAGAAUCUAAGCAGGAACAGGAAAGGGAAAAUCUAGGAGAAGAGCUUACAAAGACUGUAAAUGCCUUCAAGAAGGUGAGAGAAACUAAUAUUUGGUUUACUGUUAGCAGGCUGUUCAGGUGGCAUUUUGCCAAUAUAGCCCUAUCCCUACGUGAGUAAGGGAAAGGGAAUUGUGGUUGGACAACCGAGUUCUGAGAAAGGCAGUGAUUGAGCAGCUGAACUCCAUCCAUUUGGUGGGUGAGGACCCCAGAGUAUUCAAAGGAUCAAAUGGAAUGUGACUGAAGAGUUAUCUUGCUGAUCUUACCCAGGAGGACUGUCCCCUAGGCAAGGGAACACUAAACACAAAGAGGCAUGGGAUAAGGAUUUCGUGAUGAGAAUUGGGCAGAACUGGUGUUUAAUCCCCAUGUCAUGACACAGUGAAGGAGUGAGAUGUGAAGGUGCUCUGUCAUUGCCUCAGUCAAGGCUUUCAUGCUACACUGGAAGAAAGAGAAGCGUGAACAAAUUGUGUGAUACUUGAGGUCAUGCUGUGUACCUGUAUUGAACAAGAAUAAGGGAAGGAAGCUGGGAACCUGGAUCUCCCAUAUAUUGGAAGUUUUGUAAAAACCUUGAGCGUCCCUUCCACUACGUAUGGGGAUUAUGGGAACUGCAAUUCAAGAUGAGAUUUGAGUGAGGACACAGCCAAACCACAUGGAAGAUCUGGCAAGAGUUAGCGUGCAGUUCUACAUUGUGACAAUCCAUGAGAGCUAAGGACUGGCUGUCUCUUGGGACAAAUAGGCUUUCUUGAGUCUGCAUGAGGCCCUCACCAGAUACAGCCACCUGAUCUUGGACUUCACAGCCUCCAGAAAUGUGAGCUAAAUAAAUCUCUAUUCUUUAUAAAUUACUCAGUCUCAGGUAUUCUCUUGUAGCCACA
Molecule: long non-coding RNA, 1082 nt
Organism: Pan troglodytes (chimpanzee)
Lineage: Eukaryota; Metazoa; Chordata; Mammalia; Primates; Hominidae
Exons: 5
Source: RefSeq, a predicted model, not a curated record